AUACGAAGGGGGCAAGCGUUGUUCGGAAUAACUGGGCGUAAAGCGCACGUAGGCGGAAUGUUAAGUUAGAGGUGAAAUCCCAGGGCUCAACCCUGGGACUGCCUUUAAUACUGGCAAUCUAGAGACCGAGAGAGGUGAGUGGAAUUCCGAGUGUAGAGGUGAAAUUCGUAGAUAUUCGGAGGAACACCAGUGGCGAAGGCGGCUCACUGGCUCGGUACUGACGCUGAGGUGCGAAAGCGUGGGGAGCAAACAGGAUUAGAUACCCUUGUAGUCC
This 274-nucleotide ribosomal RNA is filed under the name uncultured bacterium. RNAcentral describes it as "partial 16S ribosomal RNA". It matches the Rfam family "Bacterial small subunit ribosomal RNA", at positions 523 to 796 of the family's 1533-position model. The record is from RNAcentral.